Long non-coding RNA from Mesocricetus auratus (golden hamster), 375 nucleotides. RefSeq lists it as uncharacterized. The transcript is spliced from 2 exons. The record is from RefSeq and is a predicted model, not a curated record. Lineage: Eukaryota; Metazoa; Chordata; Mammalia; Rodentia; Cricetidae.
GGGGUGUCUGGGCCUCUGUCCACUUCUCAUUUCAUUUCCUUAAUGAAAGAACUCAGGCAACACGAAGAGAGGCCACUGACUUAGAGUUCUACGGAGAGCCCCAAAGGAGCAGCCCGAGGGAACUACUCUGGCAAAGAAACGUAGAAUGGCAGAUGUGGCUGUGUCUCAUGGAUUGAAGACAAAGUCCCCAGCCUGCACUGAAAGUUACCACGCCUUGUCAUCAGGUGACUCAUCUGUGGGAUAUGAGCAGAAGUGGCCUGUACAACUUCUGGGAAAGACACGUUAAGUGUUUUGACACAGACAAAGCAUUUUUCCCCCUGGAAGAGUGGGGGGGGGCAAUAAAACAACCAAGGCGCCUUCCAGCUGCCAUGUCAA